AGAUGCUCACCCUGCUCCAGCCCCACAUGCUGGGUGGCCACCAACUUGUGCCAGGAGCCCAGCCACCUGCAAGCUAGCUGUACGUUUUAACUUUUAACCCACAUUUAAUUUUUAGGCACCCCAAGGCACAUACCUACUGUGCCUAAUUGGAAAUCCAGCCCUAAGUCUGACAAGUUUAGGCUCCAGUCUCCACCCCUUAGCCCCCAUGCUCUUCCAUCCAUACUUACAGUCCUCAAACACAUGCCUGUAUGUCCUUAGAACAUGUGCUUCCUGGCUCAUCCAUGGGAUAGGUGUAGCCUGGUUUAGCAAUUUUGUUUAGGCUGCAGUCAGUUUAUCCUCCAUCUUGGGCUUCCUUCUUGUUACCAUGGUUGGCGCCCUUUUUGGUGCUAAUGUUUAGUUGGUGAAAAGCUUUUGAAAAUGCUCAGUGAGAGUUGUAGUCUGCCAGGCAACCCAAGAGGGGGAAACAUCAUGUGACCUGAGUGUGUAAUCUGCAUGAUAACAGAAAGUGCAUAUAAGGUCUCAGCACUUUGCUCUGUGCUGUCCGUCAUAGUGACAGCCAGUGCCUGUGCACCAUCGACACUCAUCAGAUCAAGACACAGACGAAGACUUACCUGUUCCAGAAGAUCUUUGGUCCUGAUGGCAACUUCUUGGCUGGUGGCUCCUGUCCGUGGUUCCUGUGUUCCUAAUUCCUGAGGGUUUGGUUCCAGUCCUGGUUCCUGUUGUGUGGCUAUUGUUCCUGGUAUCCCGCGCAGAAAUAAGUUGGAAGAAAUCCUUGUUAUUGUUAAGGGGAUGGAUGAACCAGAUAUAUCCCUGGAGAGGAAAGCAAAUGAGCCAGGGCGGGGGCAAGCUGCACAUAGAGUACAAGGAAAGUGGCUUUGUGCAUACGAAAGUUCUGCAGCAACUGCUUGUCAUCCCAUACCUGUAUCAUAAUCGGAUCCCACCACUCGGUGCUUGUUUCCUGAGCCCAAUAGUGAAGGUCCACCAUGUGCAGCUGCUCCUUGAUCAGCCACCUUGUGUUCACAAUGCUUAUCACAGACUGUUGAGCAUGCUCUGAGACAGAGAUGGCAGGCGCAAAGUUUACAGAGGCAGUUGAAAAAUGGCACGAAACACAGUCAGAAGCCCUUGGAAUGAUGGAUGGAGAAAACUGCGUUAUGGGAUGGUGAUUCCACCCACACAAUGCACUGCGAUCCAUUCCCAGAACUCGUAGCAGGAGAAGGUGGCGAGUAGCACAGUGGGAUAGCUACCCACCAUGCACUGCUCUCUCUGCUAGAGCAUGAACUGUGCACACACCCCAUUGACACAAGGAGCAUUGUGUGAACAUGCACGAGCGCUGUAAUUACAGUGCGUUAUUAUCAUCAAUGUAACUUAAGUCGACUUAACUCUGUAGAGUAGAUGUGGCCUUAGUUUGUUUUUACAUAAACUGAUUCCUAAUCAGUUUAGGCUAAACUGACCUGGUUUAAACUGAAAUGUCCUCACAGGGGCUUGCACUGCUUUAACUAAACCGAUUUAAAAUCACCCCUUUACUUAAAUUGGUGCAACUUUCUCAUGUGCAUAAAUUUCCAUGUGGAAACUGGGUGGGAGGUAAUACAGCUGCUGCUGUGGAGUUGGGCCGGGGAGCAGCCAAUGGCUGUGUGGCUUCCUUUGUAACCAUGCUGCCAGUGGAAAGGGAAGGGAGCAGAGACAGCUGCUCUGUAGUUGUUUUCUGUUUCUAGCCCAAAGUCUGUAAGGAAGAGGCGUGGGAGGGGGAGCUCCAAAAUCCAUUGCACCCUGAGAAAAUCCCUUCAGCAGACAGCAUGUUUCAAGGAAAACUCAGAGGGGAAUCUUACAGAGUUGCCUUCCCCUCCUCAGGCCCUCUCCUGCAGGUUUUCCACAAGAGAGGGCAAUCUGGUCCUAAAACACCAAGGAGUCAUUUGAUCUCACCAAUUAUAAAUAAGUCUGAUGAGAGCGGACAAGGGCUCUGUUGUGAUAGAUACAUCAGUGCUAAUUAUCAGUCACAAUUGUCCCCUAUCACCCUAGUGUAUUUUGUGCAGUAUAAUUAUACCACUAAGCAGAGCUGAUAUGCAGUUUGAAAGAACUUACAAUAUAUUCAUGUGAGUGCCAGCUUCCCUCGAGUAACUUUUCCAACUGUUACCCUGGAAGAAGAACUCAGCAGUUUGGGUGGUCUUGCCUACAUUCUGCAAUACAAGCCUUGCGAGCAGCCUGGAAAAUGGUCUCUCUAACCAGACCACUGGCUCCUUUUCUCAGCCUGUGGUCACAGAAGCCUCUGGAAAAUGGAUUGGAGGACAAGAGGCAGUCUUGUUAAUGGGAAACAUCUGAAGUAUUUGAGUGCUGGCUUACAUUCCAUAGACUAAAUGUUGCCUCAUUUAGGAAAAAACAAUAGAACUACAAUUUUCAUUCAUUUGGUUAAAUGAACAUACACAAUUUUCUUUGUGGCAGCAGAGCCAGGUUUGCCAUGGGUUAGUGCUGUUGUUAGGGCUGGGUAGCCACAGCCUGUGGCAUAAAGGGGUUAAAGGUACGUAUAUGCUAUUUUAAGUUUGUCACUUCCAGCUGUUAAUAAAUGGUCUAGUUGAUUGCUCAACCACACUUUGGUUCAUUAUGAAAUAUAUUCCAGAGACCAAAUAAACAAUAUCAGUCAGGUUUAUUGCAAUAAGCCAAUAAUAAUAUCGUACAGGGAAAAGGUUCUAUAUGGUACUAGUCUUCAGGAAGCCAUCUUGUUCAGCAGUGUUACGUUCACCUUAUGCAGAAGGUGAGCUCCCAAAGUUUCACAGUUCAGUUAGGACUAGUUAUAAGAUAUUUUACAAGUUAUAAAACUCUUUACACAUCUCUGAAGCACAACCCAUCCGUGCAUCCCAGUUCCUUGACUUGUUGCUCUGUUCCUUUCCUUAUCUUUGUUUUGGAUACUAGCACUGCAAGUGUUGUCUGUGACGGUACCACCCUCACUUGUACGAAGACAGAAAAAAAUGUAUCUGUUUAUGCCAAAAGCUGAGCUGUACUAUUGCAGGGUAUUGUGGGGUGUAGUUUAGCAUGAGUGAACAGAACUCUAAGAAGAACGUAGGCCAGUUCCGCUCUUAUAACUGCCAGACAUUUGUAUAAUGCAGAGAUCGGCAACCUUCGGCACGCGGCCCGUCAGGGAAAUCUGCUGACGGGCUG
Caretta caretta (loggerhead turtle) is the source of this 3150-nucleotide long non-coding RNA. RefSeq lists it as uncharacterized. Lineage: Eukaryota; Metazoa; Chordata; Testudines; Cheloniidae. The record is from RefSeq and is a predicted model, not a curated record.